This 549-nucleotide ribosomal RNA is filed under the name uncultured Glomeromycotina. RNAcentral describes it as "SSU rRNA". It matches the Rfam family "Eukaryotic small subunit ribosomal RNA", at positions 548 to 1098 of the family's 1831-position model. Lineage: Eukaryota; Fungi; Glomeromycota. The record is from RNAcentral.
UUGGAGGGCAAGUCUGGUGCCAGCAGCCGCGGUAAUUCCAGCUCCAAUAGCGUAUAUUAAAGUUGUUGCAGUUAAAAAGCUCGUAGUUGAAUUUCGGGGUUAGUAGGUUGGUCAUGCCUCUGGUAUGUACUGGUCUCACUGAUUCCUCCUUCCUGAUGAACCUUAAUGCCAUUAAUUUGGUGUUUUGGGGAAUUUGGACUGUUACUUUGAAAAAAUUAGAGUGUUUAAAGCAAGCUAACGCUUGAAUACAUUAGCACGGAAUAACGAAAUAGGACGUUCGAUCCUAUUUUGUUGGUUUCUAGGAUUGACGUAAUGAUUAAUAGGGAUAGUUGGGGGCAUUAGUAUUCAAUUGUCAGAGGUGAAAUUCUUGGAUUUAUUGAAGACUAACUACUGCGAAAGCAUUUGCCAAGGAUGUUUUCAUUAAUCAAGAACGAAAGUUAGGGGAUCGAAGACGAUCAGAUACCGUCGUAGUCUUAACCAUAAACUAUGCCGACUAGGGAUCGGAUGAUGUUAAUUUUUUAAUGACUCAUUCGGCGCCUUACGGGAAAC